RNAcentral lists this ribosomal RNA (516 nucleotides) under uncultured microorganism. RNAcentral's name for it is "bacterial SSU rRNA". It matches the Rfam family "Bacterial small subunit ribosomal RNA", at positions 9 to 507 of the family's 1533-position model. The record is from RNAcentral.
GAGUUUGAUCGUGGCUCAGGAUGAACGCUGGCGGCGUGCCUAAUACAUGCAAGUCGAGCGAACAGACGAGGAGCUUGCUCCUCUGACGUUAGCGGCGGACGGGUGAGUAACACGUGGAUAACCUACCUAUAAGACUGGGAUAACUUCGGGAAACCGGAGCUAAUACCGAAUAAUAUAUUGAACCGCAUGGUUCAAUAGUGAAAAACGGUUUUGCUGUCACUUAUAGAUGGAUCCGCGCCGCAUUAGCUAGUUGGUAGGGUAACGGCUUACCAAGGCGACGAUGCGUAGCCGACCUGAGAGGGUGAUCGGCCACACUGGAACUGAGACACGGUCCAGACUCCUACGGGAGGCAGCAGUAGGGAAUCUUCCGCAAUGGGCGAAAGCCUGACGGAGCAACGCCGCGUGAGUGAUGAAGGUCUUCGGAUCGUAAAACUCUGUUAUUAGGGAAGAACAAAUGUGUAAGUAACUAUGCACGUCUUGACGGUACCUAAUCAGAAAGCCACGGCUAACUACGUG